CCAAGGGUGGCGGACGGGUGAGUAACGCGUAAAGAACUUGCCCCCCAGUCUGGGACAACCGUUGGAAACGACGGCUAAUACCGGAUAUUAUGAGACCUUGGCAUCAAGGGCUUAUGAAAGCUAUAUGCGCUGGGGGAGAGCUUUGCGUCCUAUUAGCUAGUUGGUGAGGUAAUGGCUCACCAAGGCGACGAUAGGUAGCCGGCCUGAGAGGGUGAACGGCCACAAGGGGACUGAGACACGGCCCUUACUCC
RNAcentral lists this ribosomal RNA (251 nucleotides) under uncultured bacterium. RNAcentral's name for it is "partial 16S ribosomal RNA". It matches the Rfam family "Bacterial small subunit ribosomal RNA", at positions 89 to 339 of the family's 1533-position model. The record is from RNAcentral.